Molecule: ribosomal RNA, 1372 nt
Filed under: uncultured bacterium
Lineage: Bacteria
Description: bacterial SSU rRNA
Rfam family: Bacterial small subunit ribosomal RNA
Source: RNAcentral
GAUGAACGCUGGCGGCGUGCCUAAUACAUGCAAGUCGAGCGAACGGACGAGAAGCUUGCUUCUCUGAUGUUAGCGGCGGACGGGUGAGUAACACGUGGAUAACCUACCUAUAAGACUGGGAUAACUUCGGGAAACCGGAGCUAAUACCGGAUAAUAUUUUGAACCGCAUGGUUCAAAAGUGAAAGACGGUCUUGCUGUCACUUAUAGAUGGAUCCGCGCUGCAUUAGCUAGUUGGUAAGGUAACGGCUUACCAAGGCAACGAUGCAUAGCCGACCUGAGAGGGUGAUCGGCCACACUGGAACUGAGACACGGUCCAGACUCCUACGGGAGGCAGCAGUAGGGAAUCUUCCGCAAUGGGCGAAAGCCUGACGGAGCAACGCCGCGUGAGUGAUGAAGGUCUUCGGAUCGUAAAACUCUGUUAUUAGGGAAGAACAUAUGUGUAAGUAACUGUGCACAUCUUGACGGUACCUAAUCAGAAAGCCACGGCUAACUACGUGCCAGCAGCCGCGGUAAUACGUAGGUGGCAAGCGUUAUCCGGAAUUAUUGGGCGUAAAGCGCGCGUAGGCGGUUUUUUAAGUCUGAUGUGAAAGCCCACGGCUCAACCGUGGAGGGUCAUUGGAAACUGGAAAACUUGAGUGCAGAAGAGGAAAGUGGAGUUCCAUGUGUAGCGGUGAAAUGCGCAGAGAUAUGGAGGAACACCAGUGGCGAAGGCGACUUUCUGGUCUGUAACUGACGCUGAUGUGCGAAAGCGUGGGGAUCAAACAGGAUUAGAUACCCUGGUAGUCCACGCCGUAAACGAUGAGUGCUAAGUGUUAGGGGGUUUCCGCCCCUUAGUGCUGCAGCUAACGCAUUAAGCACUCCGCCUGGGGAGUACGACCGCAAGGUUGAAACUCAAAGGAAUUGACGGGGACCCGCACAAGCGGUGGAGCAUGUGGUUUAAUUCGAAGCAACGCGAAGAACCUUACCAAAUCUUGACAUCCUUUGACAACUCUAGAGAUAGAGCCUUCCCCUUCGGGGGACAAAGUGACAGGUGGUGCAUGGUUGUCGUCAGCUCGUGUCGUGAGAUGUUGGGUUAAGUCCCGCAACGAGCGCAACCCUUAAGCUUAAUUGCCAUCAUUAAGUUGGGCACUCUAAGUUGACUGCCGGUGACAAACCGGAGGAGGGUGGGGAUGACGUCAAAUCAUCAUGCCCCUUAUGAUUUGGGCUACACACGUGCUACAAUGGACAAUACAAAGGGCAGCGAAACCGCGAGGUCAAGCAAAUCCCAUAAAGUUGUUCUCAGUUCGGAUUGUAGUCUGCAACUCGACUACAUGAAGCUGGAAUCGCUAGUAAUCGUAGAUCAGCAUGCUACGGUGAAUACGUUCCCGGGUCU